GGGGCUGUAGCUCAGUUGGGAGAGCGCUUGAAUGGCAUUCAAGAGGUCAAGAGUUCGAUUCUCUUCAGCUCCACCA
Molecule: transfer RNA, 76 nt
Filed under: Desulfocurvibacter africanus
Lineage: Bacteria; Pseudomonadati; Thermodesulfobacteriota; Desulfovibrionia; Desulfovibrionales; Desulfovibrionaceae
Also listed under: 3 other names
Description: tRNA-Ala
Rfam family: tRNA
About the family: Transfer RNA (tRNA) molecules are approximately 80 nucleotides in length.
Source: RNAcentral